RNAcentral lists this long non-coding RNA (2473 nucleotides) under Lynx pardinus (Iberian lynx). The record is from RNAcentral. Lineage: Eukaryota; Metazoa; Chordata; Mammalia; Carnivora; Felidae.
GAGAUUCUGCUCUUUCUUGAAACCCAUCCCUCCCCAGAAUCUGUUCUCCCCUUGCUUCCUUCUUGAAGGCGCUGGCCAGGCCUGGGUGUGGCAGGGCAGAAAUGAAAGUUGUCCUGGCAACACACAGGGUUCGUCAACAUUUCCAUCCCAGCGGCUCAGAGGCCUGAGCCCUUCUCUUGCCCAAUGUGGCCUGACAAGAUGAGCCUUCCUGGAAUGGAAGCUAGGUUGGGCUGGCCAGGUCUCCGCCCCUCCCCGGUGCACGGGGCGGCAGAACCACACAGGCUCGCUGGUGAGUUGACUAAUUUCCCCCUCUACCACCCCAGCCUGACACUAGGCAGCCAACAAGGACGCCUGGAAGGGGUGAUGGAAGUGAGACCGGGUGUCUGGAGAAGGCUGGGUCUGAGUGUUCCGGUGUGUGAGCUCGUUUCAGAGCCCAAUACUGCUGGCACCUUGGUGGCACCUUAUCCCAGCUGACUCAGCUUUCUAUUACGCAGACAGGGGAGGGGCUCACCUCGGAGGGAAGGGACCACACAGGGGAUGGGGCAAGAGGAGCAGCACACACAGAUGCGCGGUGGGCACUAGGAAAGCCAGGCCACCAGCUCUGCUAAGGGCGGCUUCACUGCCCCCUCUGCCUCUUGGGCUUUUUUUUUUUUUUUUUUUUUUCCCAGGAGAAAACUUCCCUUGAGGGAUACUUGUAAGUGCCCUUCCAGGAGGUCUGGGGGCAAAGGUGAUGACUAACCUCCUGCCCAACCACUGGCUUCGAGACGUGGAGGUGGGUAGCGGGCUGUCAAGGUAAAGGAGACACAAGCCAUCCAGACCCUCAUCCAACCCAGCCCUCCGAACUCUGGGGAGGACAGGGAGGAUACAGGGAGCCUGGGAAGAAACCCUGAAGGAGCCCCUCCAAAAGUCCCAGCCCUCCCUCCUCCAGAGGACACCCCAAGCUCCUCACAGCAAUCGGGCAUCUUAAGUUCUGGCUGAACCGGUGGUUCCUGAGCCCCCCUCCCAGCCCUGCAUCCUCCUCUAUAAAACCUUCAGAGGAGUCUGAUUCUUCCUGGACACAGAGAGCAGCAUUCAGACAUCCUGGAGGCCCUGGUAGUUCCCCAAUACAGAGGUCGGCUGGCCUCCCAGGCUUGGGGCAAGGUGGGUCUAGGACCCCAGUCCCAAACCUCUCUGGGACAAAUGUGCUUUGAUUCUCAGAGCAGCCCUAGUGAAAUCAAUCCUAGCCACUCCCAUCUGACCUCACGAAAAUUAUUUAAUCUCUUUGAGAAAAAUACGAAGACAUCAAAGAACACAUUAUGGAAACGACAAGGUGGGAAGGCUGAACCGAUUCUAGCUGUUCUCAGCGGACACAGGGGUACUGGGAGUGGUUUCCAACUGCCACCUGCCUCCCUGAGACCCAGCGGCCUGAGUGUAUAUGAAAUGGGACUUUCUCCCUGGGUCAGCCUGGGUGAGGGGCCCCCCUAGGUGCCCGACUCCCCGCCGGGGCAGCUGCCCUUCCGGUUCCACAUCUCGUUCUCCUGCCGGAGCCGCUGGUUCUCUGUCCGGAGCCUCUCGACCUCAGCAGCCAGCUCCUCCACCUGGCGGCAGGGCUGCGGGCCGGUGCACCCCCGCAGCUGCUGCAGCCUCCUGGUCUCCUCCUCGGCCUGCGACAGCCGCCUCUCCAGAUCCAGGUAGUCUCGAACCAGCUCCUGCUUGCUGCGGUCCUGCAGGCGCUCGGUGUGGUAGCGCUCGUAGGCCUCGGAGAAAUCCCUCUGCUGGAACUCACCGUGAGCCGGGCCUCGCCCGUCGCCUUCCCCUGCCUCGCUCUCCCCGCUGGAGCCUGGCUGGGAGGCCCCGUGGGGCACUUCCAGGUUGGGCUCCUCAGGGUCUCGGUCAUUCAUCAGAAAUUGGGUGGUGUUGUAGGGCGCCACGGGCUGGCCUUUGGCGAACAUCUCCUCGCGGACCCGGGAGGCCCUCUGGCUCUGCCUCUCAUCCCGCUGUUGCUUCUCGGCCCAGCUCAGCUCCAGGUAGGGCCGCCAGUGCCUUUUGCGCUUUGAAGGCCUCCUGCGGUGCUUCUUCCGGCCCAGCACAGCCUCCACUGAGCUGCCCCCUGGGCUCUGGGUCCGGGAAGCCCUACUGUUCCAGCCCAGGCCACUGCCAGCCCCAGUAGGGUCUUCCUCCUCCGAGUGGCUCUCUAUCCGGGGUGUCAGGGGCAGGGAACUACCAGGGUCAUGAGGCUCAGGGGGUGUCUGGGGGCUCCCAGGAGCACCAGGGGUCUAGACAGAGGACAAGGAAGAAUAAAUCACAGACAGCCUGUCCCCGGUGGUGGAACCCUUCCAUAACCACUUGGCCUGAAGCCAACUUUCCCAUAGCUGACUUGGGGUCACUCUCCAGCCUCUCACCCUCUGCAACUAUUUGUUGGUUUGUGGGUUUUUACCUGUCUACUGUCUGCCCCCCUGACCCAGCCCUCCCCGAGCAAACUCAGGAAAACAGC